CUGCUGCAGUCCAGAGCACAGGGUCUACGGGUCCUCACACCACGGUCCGUGUGUGUCUCCCCUCAAGCCCCUGCACCCCCGUCAGUUUCUCAUCAGUCUGCUGCUCUCUUCCUCUCACCAGUAAAUGGAGAUGCACUCACUCUCGAGUCUCAGAGGGAGUGGCAACAGAAUGGAAAGUAGAUUGCAAAGGGCUAGUGAGCUUUAAGGACCCUAUACAGACAGUCACCAAGGAGAGGGGACUCAUAGGGCACUAUGACAAGGAAAAAGCAAAGGAGCAGGGUCUGCACAAGGCCCCUGGAGUCUACACCUAGGCUGAAGACACCAAGAGUGACCAUUUGCACUACAAGACGCA
RNAcentral lists this long non-coding RNA (352 nucleotides) under Rattus norvegicus (Norway rat). RNAcentral describes it as "long non-coding RNA NONRATT011974". Lineage: Eukaryota; Metazoa; Chordata; Mammalia; Rodentia; Muridae. The record is from RNAcentral.